GGGGGGAUUCCCGAGCGGCCAAAGGGGUCAGACUGUAAAUCUGAUGGCCACGCCUUCGCAGGUUCGAAUCCUGCUCCCCCCACCA
Molecule: transfer RNA, 85 nt
Filed under: Planctomycetota bacterium
Lineage: Bacteria; Pseudomonadati; Planctomycetota
Description: tRNA-Tyr
Rfam family: tRNA
About the family: Transfer RNA (tRNA) molecules are approximately 80 nucleotides in length. Their secondary structure includes four short double-helical elements and three loops (D, anti-codon, and T loops).
Source: RNAcentral